This 664-nucleotide ribosomal RNA is filed under the name uncultured Lachnospiraceae bacterium. Its description in RNAcentral is "bacterial SSU rRNA". It matches the Rfam family "Bacterial small subunit ribosomal RNA", at positions 65 to 735 of the family's 1533-position model. Lineage: Bacteria; Bacillati; Bacillota; Clostridia; Lachnospirales; Lachnospiraceae. The record is from RNAcentral.
CACUUUAUUUGAUUUCCUUCGGGACUGAUUAUUUUGUGACUGAGUGGCGGACGGGUGAGUAACGCGUGGGUAACCUGCCUUGUACAGGGGGAUAACAGUUGGAAACGGCUGCUAAUACCGCAUAAGCGCACGGCAUCGCAUGAUGCAGUGUGAAAAACUCCGGUGGUAUAAGAUGGACCCGCGUUGGAUUAGCUAGUUGGUGAGGUAACGGCCCACCAAGGCGACGAUCCAUAGCCGACCUGAGAGGGUGACCGGCCACAUUGGGACUGAGACACGGCCCAAACUCCUACGGGAGGCAGCAGUGGGGAAUAUUGCACAAUGGGCGAAAGCCUGAUGCAGCGACGCCGCGUGAGCGAAGAAGUAUUUCGGUAUGUAAAGCUCUAUCAGCAGGGAAGAUAAUGACGGUACCUGACUAAGAAGCACCGGCUAAAUACGUGCCAGCAGCCGCGGUAAUACGUAUGGUGCAAGCGUUAUCCGGAUUUACUGGGUGUAAAGGGAGCGCAGGCGGUGCGGCAAGUCUGAUGUGAAAGCCCGGGGCUCAACCCCGGUACUGCAUUGGAAACUGUCGUACUAGAGUGUCGGAGGGGUAAGCGGAAUUCCUAGUGUAGCGGUGAAAUGCGUAGAUAUUAGGAGGAACACCAGUGGCGAAGCGGCUUACUGGACG